GAGGAGAUAGCUCAGUGGUAGAGAAUUUGCCUAGUAUGCACAAGGCCCUGGGCUCAGUUCCCAGUAACCCUG
Molecule: non-coding RNA, 72 nt
Organism: Heterocephalus glaber (naked mole-rat)
Lineage: Eukaryota; Metazoa; Chordata; Mammalia; Rodentia; Bathyergidae
Source: Rfam